UGGGGGAUAUUGCACAAUGGAGGAAACUCUGAUGCAGCAACGCCGCGUGAAGGAUGAAGGUCUUCGGAUUGUAAACUUUUGUACUUGGGGACGAUAAUGACGGUACCCAAGCAGCAAGCUCCGGCUAACUACGUGCCAGCAGCCGCGGUAAUACGUAGGGAGCAAGCGUUGUCCGGAUUUACUGGGUGUAAAGGGUGCGUAGGCGGCCAUACAAGUCAGUUGUGAAAACUAUGGGCUCAACCCAUAGCCUGCAAUUGAAACUGCGUGGCUUGAGUGAAGUAGAGGUAGGUGGAAUUCCCGGUGUAGCGGUGAAAUGCGUAGAGAUCGGGAGGAACACCAGUGGCGAAGGCGACCUACUGGGCUUUAACUGACGCUGAGGCACGAAAGCAUGGGUAGCAAACAGGAUUAGAUACCCUGGUAGUCCAUGCUGUAAACGAUGAUUACUAGGUGUGG
This 453-nucleotide ribosomal RNA is filed under the name uncultured bacterium. Its description in RNAcentral is "partial 16S ribosomal RNA". It matches the Rfam family "Bacterial small subunit ribosomal RNA", at positions 355 to 825 of the family's 1533-position model. The record is from RNAcentral.